CCUACGGGGGGCAGCAGUGAGGAAUAUUGGUCAAUGGCCGAGAGGCUGAACCAGCCAAGUCGCGUGAGGGAUGACGGCCCUACGGGUUGUAAACCUCUUUUGUCGGGGAGCAAAGCGAGUCACGUGUCCCUCCUUGAGAGUACCCGAAGAAAAAGCAUCGGCUAACUCCGUGCCAGCAGCCGCGGUAAUACGGAGGAUGCGAGCGUUAUCCGGAUUUAUUGGGGUUAAAGGGUUCGCAGGCGGAGGGGAAAGUCAGAGGUCAAAUUGCGGGGUGAAACCGCGUACUGCAGUUGAAACUGCGUGUCUGGAGUGCGCGAGAGGUACGCGGAAUGCGUGGUGUAGCGGUGAAAUGCAUAGAUAUCACGAAGAACUCCGAUUGCGAAGGCAGCUUACCGGCGCGCAACUGACGCUCAUGCACGAAAGCGUGGGUAUCGAACAGGAUUAGAUACCCUAGUAGUC
This 459-nucleotide ribosomal RNA is filed under the name uncultured bacterium. RNAcentral's name for it is "partial 16S ribosomal RNA". It matches the Rfam family "Bacterial small subunit ribosomal RNA", at positions 338 to 795 of the family's 1533-position model. The record is from RNAcentral.